RNAcentral lists this ribosomal RNA (252 nucleotides) under uncultured bacterium. Its description in RNAcentral is "partial 16S ribosomal RNA". It matches the Rfam family "Bacterial small subunit ribosomal RNA", at positions 525 to 776 of the family's 1533-position model. The record is from RNAcentral.
ACAGAGGGUGCAAACGUUGCUCGGAAUUACUGGGCGUAAAGCGCGUGUAGGCGGACCGGUAAGUCAGAUGUGAAAGCCCUGGGCUCAACCCGGGAACUGCAUUUGAAACUGCCAGUCUUGAGUGAUGGAGAGGGAAGCGGAAUUCCUGGUGUAGAGGUGAAAUUCGUAGAUAUCAGGAGGAACACCGGUGGCGAAGGCGGCUUCCUGGACAUUGACUGACGCUGAGACGCGAAAGUGUGGGGAGCAAACAGG